CAAGGUCUCUAGCAGCACAUGCAUGCCAUGCAGGCUCACACUUGGAAGUAACACACACACAACACACACAGUGUAUCCUCAGAGUGUAGAGCAGUGUAGCAGAGGAGAGUAGAGGAGUGUAGAGUGUAGAGGAGAGUAGAGGAGUGUAGAGGAGAGUAGAGCACUGUAGAGGAGUGUAGAGGAGUGUAGCGGAGAGGAGUGUAGAGGAGAGUAGAGCAGUGUAGAGGAGAGGAGUGUAGAGGAGAGUAGAGGAGUGUAGAGGAGAGGAGUGUAGAGAAGAGUAGAGGAGAGUAGAGGAGUGUAGAGUAGACGAGUGUAGAGGAGUGUAGAGGAGAGGAGUGUAGCUAUACUAGACUGGUUUUCCCUCCUCCUCUCUUAUGUAGCUUUACUAGACUUGUUCUCACUCCUCCUCUCUAAUGUAUCUAUACUAUACUGGUUCUCCCUUCUCCUCCUCACUAAUGUAUAUUUACUAGACUGGUUGUCCCUCCUCCUCCUCUCUUA
This is a long non-coding RNA of Oncorhynchus tshawytscha (Chinook salmon), 501 nucleotides long. The record is from Ensembl. NCBI's taxonomy places the organism in Eukaryota, Metazoa, Chordata, Actinopteri, Salmoniformes, Salmonidae.